This 74-nucleotide transfer RNA is filed under the name Candidatus Jorgensenbacteria bacterium. Its description in RNAcentral is "tRNA-Gly". It matches the Rfam family "tRNA". From Rfam's summary of the family: Transfer RNA (tRNA) molecules are approximately 80 nucleotides in length. The record is from RNAcentral. Lineage: Bacteria; Candidatus Joergenseniibacteriota.
GCGGGUAUUGUAUAACGGUAUUAUGCAACCUUCCCAAGGUUGAGACACGGGUCCGACUCCCGUUACCCGCUCCA